This 574-nucleotide ribosomal RNA is filed under the name Cryptococcus sp. FN14L03. RNAcentral describes it as "eukaryotic LSU rRNA". It matches the Rfam family "Eukaryotic large subunit ribosomal RNA", at positions 87 to 650 of the family's 3401-position model. Lineage: Eukaryota; Fungi; Basidiomycota; Tremellomycetes; Tremellales; Cryptococcaceae. The record is from RNAcentral.
CGGCGAGCGAACCGGGAAGAGCUCAAAUUUGAAAGCUGGCAGCUUGCAGUUGUCCGCAUUGUAAUCUAUAGAGGCAUUUUCCGUGCUGGACCGUGACCAAGUCCCUUGGAACAGGGUAUCAAAGAGGGUGAUAAUCCCGUACUUGUCACGACAACCAGUGCUCUGUGAUAUGUCUUCUACGAGUCGAGUUGUUUGGGAAUGCAGCUCAAAAUGGGUGGUAAAUUCCAUCUAAGGCUAAAUAUUGGCGAGAGACCGAUAGCGAACAAGUACCGUGAGGGAAAGAUGAAAAGCACUUUGGAAAGAGAGUUAAACAGUAUGUGAAAUUGUUGAAAGGGAAACGAUUGAGGUCAGUCGUGACUGCAGGAUUCAGCUGUCUCUGGCAGUGUAUUUCCUGUAGUCGGGUCAACAUCAGUUUUGAUCGGUGGAUAAGGGCAGUUGGAAUGUAGCACCUCCGGGUUUGUUAUAGCCUUCUGUCGCAUACACUGGUUGAGACUGAGGAAUGCAGCUCGCCUUUAUGGCCGGGGUUCGCCCACGUUCGAGCUUAGGAUGUUGACAUAAUGGCCUUAAACGACCC